CAGGAUGAACGCUAGCGGCAGGCUAACACAUGCAAGUCGAGGGGCAGCGUGGAGUAGCAAUACUCUGACGGCGACCGGCGAAAGGGUGAGUAACGCGUGAGCAACAUGCCCGUAGUUGGGGGAUAGUCGAUGGAAACGUCGCGUAAUACCCCGUAACAACAGAGGCCGCAUGACCUUUGUUUAAGAGAUUUAUUGUCUACGGAUUGGCUCGCGUACCAUUAGCUAGUUGGCGGGGUAACGGCCCACCAAGGCGACGAUGGUUAGGGGUUCUGAGAGGAAGGUCCCCCACAUUGGAACUGAGACACGGUCCAGACUCCUACGGGAGGCAGCAGUGAGGAAUAUUGGUCAAUGGCCGAGAGGCUGAACCAGCCAUGCCGCGUGCGGGAUGACGGCCCUAUGGGUUGUAAACCGCUUUUGUUGGGGAGCAAUAAGGUUCACGUGUGGACUGAUGAGAGUACCCAGCGAAUAAGCAUCGGCUAACUCCGUGCCAGCAGCAGC
Molecule: ribosomal RNA, 498 nt
Filed under: uncultured bacterium
Lineage: Bacteria
Description: bacterial SSU rRNA
Rfam family: Bacterial small subunit ribosomal RNA
Source: RNAcentral